GACGAACGCUGGCGGCGUGCCUAAUACAUGCAAGUCGAACGCUGAAGGAGGAGCUUGCUUCUCUGGAUGAGUUGCGAACGGGUGAGUAACGCGUAGGUAACCUGCCUGGUAGCGGGGGAUAACUAUUGGAAACGAUAGCUAAUACCGCAUAAGAGUAGAUGUUGCAUGACAUUUGCUUAAAAGGUGCAAUUGCAUCACUACCAGAUGGACCUGCGUUGUAUUAGCUAGUUGGUGGGGUAACGGCUCACCAAGGCGACGAUACAUAGCCGGCCGGAGAGGGGGGUCGGCCAAACUGGGACUGGGACACGGCCCAGACUCCUACGGGAGGGAGCAGGAGGGGAACUUCGGCAAUGGGCGGAAAUCUGACCGAGCAACGCCGCGGUAGUGAAGAAGGUUUUCGGAUCGUAAAGCUCUGUUGUAAGAGAAGAAAGAGUGUGAGAGUGAAAAGUUCACACUGUGACGGUAUCUUACCAGAAAGGGACGGCUAACUACGUG
This 495-nucleotide ribosomal RNA is filed under the name uncultured bacterium. RNAcentral's name for it is "partial 16S ribosomal RNA". It matches the Rfam family "Bacterial small subunit ribosomal RNA", at positions 28 to 507 of the family's 1533-position model. The record is from RNAcentral.